GAGCCCGGCGCGGCGCGGCACAGUAGUUCCCCUGGCGCUCGGCUCCCUCGCGUUAGACUUGCUGUGUUGUGAUCACGUGGGUAGCUCCGGGCGCGGCGCUUGUUUUGGUUUCCGUCUAACUUGCCCACCGCAGCUUCGGUGUGAACGACUUUCCUGCACUGGUUGACGCGCCUGCCCACACCCUGACCCGGUCUUCGGGCUCUCUCAGCCCGCAGUUUCGCAAGCUCUUGGGGCGGGCUCCUGCCAUGCCGCUGGUCCGCUACAGGAAGGUGGUCAUCCUCGGAUACCGCUCUGUAGGGAAAACAUCUCUGGCACAUCAAUUUGUGGAGGGCGAGUUCGUGGAAGGCUACGAUCCUACAGUGGAGAAUACUUACAGCAAGAUACUGACUCUUGGCAAAGAUGAGUUUCACCUACACCUGGUGGACACAGCAGGGCAGGUACCAGUUGGGGAUGAGUACAGCAUUCUGCCCUAUUCAUUCAUCAUUGGGGUCCAUGGUUAUGUGCUCGUGUAUUCUGUCACCUCUCUGCAUAGCUUCCAAGUCAUUGAGAGUCUGUACCAAAAGCUACACGAAGGCCAUGGGAAAACCCGGUAAGUGGCCCUGGGGGAUAGAGACAUAGUAUGGGCAAGUUAGAGAGGAGGCUGGGAUAUAGAUCUGGCCUGGUCUGAUGAGGAGUUGUCCAGCCUUGAUGUAAGGAGUUGGGGAAUGUGGGGAGUGAGAGGGGAUUCUGUAGUAACUGCUGUUUCCUCACAGGGUGCCAGUGGUUUUAGUUGGGAACAAGGCAGAUCUCUCUCCAGAGAGAGUCUCCUCUGU
RNA transcript from Cebus imitator (Panamanian white-faced capuchin), 812 nucleotides. It is a transcript of the gene named RHEB like 1, with no coding region annotated. The transcript has 7 exons. Lineage: Eukaryota; Metazoa; Chordata; Mammalia; Primates; Cebidae. The record is from RefSeq and is a predicted model, not a curated record.